AGGGGUAUAGCUCAGUGGUAGAGUGUGUGCUUAGCACGCACGAGGUCCUGAGUUCAAUCCCUAGUACUUCCA
RNAcentral lists this transfer RNA (72 nucleotides) under Camelus bactrianus (Bactrian camel). It matches the Rfam family "tRNA". Rfam says of the family: Transfer RNA (tRNA) molecules are approximately 80 nucleotides in length. Their secondary structure includes four short double-helical elements and three loops (D, anti-codon, and T loops). The record is from Rfam by way of RNAcentral. Lineage: Eukaryota; Metazoa; Chordata; Mammalia; Artiodactyla; Camelidae. RNAcentral also lists the same sequence under 2 other names.